GUUUUUUGCCGCAUAUCUAUGGUUUGUUUAGAAUUUGAUAAGUGCUUAUUCAAGUUUUAGGCCAUGUAAAGACUUCUGAAUUAUGGAAGAAUUUUGUUCUCUUUCAAUAUCAUGAAUUUUUCCUGGCAUGGACAAAAUAUCAAUGGUCUUAUGAAUGUAAGUGCUAGUGAUUAGACAAAGGGAUUAUAAUUUUUAACCAAACAUAAUUAUUUUAUGAAUAUUAUUUU
RNAcentral lists this unclassified non-coding RNA (227 nucleotides) under Hevea brasiliensis (rubber tree). Lineage: Eukaryota; Viridiplantae; Streptophyta; Magnoliopsida; Malpighiales; Euphorbiaceae. The record is from RNAcentral.